RNAcentral lists this unclassified non-coding RNA (252 nucleotides) under Ascomycota sp. RNAcentral describes it as "partial contains small subunit ribosomal RNA, internal transcribed spacer 1, and 5.8S ribosomal RNA". The stretch from base 1 to 47 matches the Rfam family "Eukaryotic small subunit ribosomal RNA", at positions 1785 to 1831 of the family's 1831-position model. Lineage: Eukaryota; Fungi; Ascomycota. The record is from RNAcentral.
AAAGUCGUAACAAGGUCUCCGUUGGUGAACCAGCGGAGGGAUCAUUACAGAGUUGCAAAACUCCCACAAACCAUUGCGAAUUCUACCCGUACUGUUGCUUCGGCGCGGCGGUCCGACUCGUUCGGGCCCUCGGCCUCCCCCCGGGGAGGCGCCCGCCGGAGGGACGACAACCCAACUCUUAUUUUUACAACGAAUCUCUGAGUCUUAUUACUUAAUAAGUUAAAACUUUCAACAACGGAUCUCUUGGUUCUG